UUUGAAUUCAAUUAAUUAGCAUAUAGAGUAUUAUUAGUUUCAGAGGUAGAGGUCAGUGAUUCAUCAAUGGCAUAGAACACCCAGUGCUCAUCCCACACGUGCCUCCUUAAUGCUCGUCAUCCAGUUACCCUGUCCUCUCACCCCUCUCCCCUCCAGCGACCCUCAGUUUGCUUCCCAGAGUUAAGAGUCUCUUAUGGUUUGACUCCCUCUCUGAUUUCAUCUUAUUUUAUUUUUCCCUCUCUUCCCCUAUGAUCCUCUGUUUUGUUUCUUACAUUCAACAUAGGAGUGAAGUCACAUAAUUGCCUUUCUCUGAUUGACUUAUUUCGCUUAGUGUAAUACCCUCUAGUUCUAUCCAUGUCAUUGCAAAUGGUAAGAUUUCAAAUUUUUGGUGACUAAGUGAUAUUCCAUUAUAUAUAUAUAUAUAUAUAUAUAUAUAUAUAUAUAUAUAUAUACACUACAUCUCAAUAGAGUUCCUUUUUUUAUUGAUGAGUUGAUAUUCCAUGGUCUGGAUGUACUAAUUUUUUAACCAUUCAUCACUGAAGGGCAUUUAGAUACAUUUAGAUUCCUUUUUUUAAUGAGCUCAGUACCCAACGGGGCUCAAACUCACGACCCCACAAUCAAGAGUCACGUGUUCUGCUGACUGAGCCAGCCAGGUGCCCCUAUUUCUUAUUUUUAGCUAUUACAAAUAAAGCUGCCAUGAAUAAUCAUGUAUGUAUUUCGUGGGGAUAUUUCUCUGCAACAAAUGCCUAAGAAGGGCAGUCUCUGGGUCAUACAGUAAGUGUAUGUUUAGUUUUUUUUUAGGAAACUGCCAAACUAUUUUCCAGAGUGGCUGCAUCUUAGUAACAUUUUAUGCUUUUCUCUGUAAAUAUUUUGUUACAGUCUAUUUUUAUUAUUAUCAUAAGUGGAAGAUUUUUUUUAAUGAUACUUUGCUUGCUCUGAUGUUUAUAAAUGCAAUUGCUUUUUAUUGAGGUCGACUUUACACAAAAUAAAAUUAAUCAUUUUAAGGGUGCCUGGAUUGGCUCAGUUGGCUAAGCAUCUGCUUUCCACUCAGGUCAUGAUCCCGGGGUCCUGGGAGUGAGCCCCAUGUUGGCUCCCUGCUCAAUGGGAAGCCUGCUUCUCCCUCUGCCUCUACCCUCUGCUCAUGUCUCUCUGUCAAAUAAAUAAAAUCUUUUUUAAAAAUAAAUAAAAUUAAUAAUUUUGAAGUGUACGGUUCAGUGGAUUUUUAGUAUAUGCACAAGAUGUACAGCCAUCCCCAUGAAUUCCAGAACAUUUUCAUCACCCCAAAAAGAAGCUUUUACCCAUUAGCAGUCACUCCCCAUUACUCCCUCCGCCCCCUCAGACCCUGACAACUGUUAAUCCACUUUCUCUAUGGAUUUUUGUAUUUGGGAAAUUUCAUAUAAAUGGAAUCAUACAACGUGUGGCCUUUUGUGUCUGGCUUCUUUCACUGGGCAUCAGAUUUUCAAGGUUCAUCCACGUGUUGCAAUUCGUUUUUAAUAUUGAUUUGAUGUAGAAAUAUCCUGUACCUCUGUCAGAUUCCAUUCAUGGUUAAUUUCAUAUAUUAUUUGGGGCUUUCUCUGUAAACAAUCACGUCAUCUGCAAAUGAUGCCAGCUUUGCUUCUUCCUUUCCAAUCCUUAUACCUUGCGUUGUUGGUUUUUUUCCCCAUCUCUUACCGCCCCAUCUAGGACCUCAGGUACAAUAUUAAAUAGACACAUGGAUGUGAGAAAACUUGUCUUGCCCUGACUUUUAAGGAAUUUUGUCCAUUGUCCCUUUAAGAACCAUGUUUGUGUUGGGUUUUGUAGAUAAUCUUUAUCGGUUGAAGGAAGUUCCUUUCGAUUCAGUUUGCUAAAGCGUUUUUAUCAUAAGUAGAUGUUGAAACGUAUUGCCAGUGCCGGAAGGAUCGUAUGACUUUUCUCCCUUAAUUUAUUAACGUGACAGAUGGCAUUUAUAGACUUUCAGAUGUUAAACCACACUUGCAUUUCUAGAAUAAACCCCAUUGGUCAUGAGUUAUGUAUGCUUUUUUAUCCGUUGCUGGAUUUGUUUUGCUAACAUUUUAUUAGGGUCCUCGCAUUGAGCUUCACAAGUGGGACUGGUCUGUAAGGUCCCUUUGAAUGUACUAUUAAGUGGAAAAGAGCCAUCUCUGACCUAAGUGUCCCUCUCAGGUCCCUGUCUGCUCCCGCAGCUGGAGGAGGGUAGGGAGCCACCACCAGAUUCCCCGAGGUAGCUGCAGAGAUUCAGGACCUUGAGCUCUGGAAGGGUCCUCGAGGCUGUGACUCCCCAGCCCAGUCCAGGGGGUCCUGGGCCUCUCGUUGGAGAGGAAAGCUUAAGAGAAAUCUUCCCCUCCCUUCUUCUUCUGGUGGGGAUUGCCCUCCAGAGGAAGUGGCUGAGAAAGGCCCAGGGUCAGGGGUUAAUGACCCCAUUGUGCUAGGGCUGACGGGCUGGCAGUGGCAGCCCCAGGAAGAUCCCCUGCUCUGCUCUGGGCCAUCCUUCUAUAGAGGCUUCCAGGCUGGCCUUUGAUGACUGCUGAGGGCCACCCUCCUUGCCAUGGGGACCCGGGCCAGCCUCUUUGCUGGGGUCUGCUGCUGAGGCCCAGAACGUAGGCCUCUACGGUUCUGCUUCCCACCCACCCCCCUUUCCCAAGGGCGCUGGUCACACCUACCCCCUACCCCCUGACCCCUGCCUCUCCCCCAUCUCAGGCACCCUGUCCCUCUGGCGAACGACCACGUCCUCAGAAGUGACCUGAUGCAGUCCAACUAUCCCACAUUUGGGAUGGGAACCGGGUACGACCUGGUCUAGGCUCUCCUCGGGAGCUGCAGCAGGGGCACAGCCAGGUCCCGGGACUUCCCAUUCACACGUGCCCCUUCCCAGGGUGGGUGGACGCUGAGGUGAAUCAGGUGCAUCCUCCCUCCAGGGGCUCACAGGCUGGCAGGGAGGAGGUCAGAACGUGAAGAGAAAAGUAGAAGUGUGGGUACGCGGGUGGCUCAGCGGCUGAGCGUCUGCCUUCAGCUCAGGGCAUGAUCCUGGGGUCCUGGGAUCGAGUCCCACAUCGGGCUCCCCGCAGGGAGCCUGCUUCUCCCUCUGCCUGUGUCUCUGCCUCUCUCUCUGUGUGUGUCUCUGAUGAGUAAAUAAAUAAAAUCUUAAAAAAAAAAAAAAAGAAAAGAAAAGUCAAAGUGUGGCAAAUUCAGUAAGCACAGAGUACUAUGGGUGUCCGAAGAGGAACUCCUAGCCCAGCCAGGAGGUCAGGGAGGCUUCCAGGAAAUAAUGCUGGGCCAAUUCUAAAAGAGUGAGCCGAAGUUUGGCCAAAGAGAGUGGAUGCAGCAAGGAAAGGCAUUCCAGGCAGGGGGAACAGCAUAAGCAAAGGCACAGAGUAAAUCCAGCAUAGUGUGUGUGUGAACCACAGCAUUUCAGUGGUGAGAGGUGAGGCUAAGCAGGUCAGCGGGGCCAAGUCUUCCAGGGACUGCUAUGCCAUGUUAGAGGUUUACACUGGUAGUUUGUCACUCAAGUGGGGAAGAGAGCUGAGAGCCAGGUUCUAAUUGUGCCCCUGUCCUCAUUCAUCCAGCUCCCAGAGCAGCAGUGUGACCCAGGGCAGGUCACUUCCUCAUGAACAGCCUCCCACAGGCUGGCCCCCUCUGGGCUGCCUGGUCCCGUCCCCCAAGUGGAACCUGGAAGACCCCACUAGACGAGCACAGACACCCCUUCAGUGAGGCAGGCGAGGGACGGGGUGUGCAUAGGCUGUUCUCGGUUCCAGAUUGGAAGUAGGGUGUGGGGGACAGGAGCUUGAAAGAGAGGGGUUCAGGGUGAAUAGCAGGUCUGCCUUUUGACUGCAGCAUCAUCCACGACAGCAUCAUGAAGCCACAUCAGCCCUGGAUGACCUAGCGGGGACUUCCAUUACAGGCCAGAAGCAACCCCCUCGAUGUUAUUGGAUUUUCUGUUAUUUGUAGUCAAAAUGCCUUCCUAACCGAUCCAAGCUCCUAACCUCCAGCUGGAAAAUAUAUAAAUAUACUCCAAGAUCUUAUAUGUUCACAGAAGAAGAUUUUCCAGAGAAAUAGGACGCCUUCUUAAAGACAGGAUACAUGUCACACCUUCAUUUCAAAUAACUUUAAAAUCUGCAAGCAUUCAUUAGAAAUACAAUAAGAGACAAAGCACUAAAAAUGUGUAAAUCACUUGCAGUUCCAUCACCCAGAAAUAACAAGGUUAGCAUUUUGGUGUGUGUGUGUUGUUGUUUUUUUUUUUUUCAGGUUUUUUCCCUAUAUUCUAAAUUAAGUUGAGCUCACAGCAUGUCAUUUUUUCCUUUUUGCUUUUUAUUGAAUACGUAUGUAUUAUCUCAUCACAUCUUGGUUUUCACUUAAGAUUAUACCAAAAAUAUUUCCUUUGUCAUAUAAAAUUCUUCCUAAACACCAUUUUUUAAAAAAAGAUUUUAUUUAUUCAUGAGACACAGAGAGAGAG
This 4444-nucleotide long non-coding RNA is filed under the name Canis lupus familiaris (dog). RNAcentral describes it as "lncRNA (ENSCAFG00845005236.1)". Lineage: Eukaryota; Metazoa; Chordata; Mammalia; Carnivora; Canidae. The record is from RNAcentral.